RNAcentral lists this ribosomal RNA (1385 nucleotides) under uncultured bacterium. RNAcentral describes it as "bacterial SSU rRNA". It matches the Rfam family "Bacterial small subunit ribosomal RNA". The record is from RNAcentral.
UGGCGGCAGGCUUAACACAUGCAAGUCGAACGACAUAGUGGCAGACGGGUGAGUAACGCGUGGGAACGUGCCUUUCACUACGGAAUAGCUCUUGGAAACGAGUGGUAAUACCGUAUACGCCCUCCGGGGGAAAGAUUUAUCGGUGAAAGAUCGGCCCGCGUUAGAUUAGUUUGUUGGUGGGGUAAUGGCCUACCAAGACUACGAUCUAUAGCUGGUCUGAGAGGAUGAUCAGCCACACUGGGACUGAGACACGGCCCAGACUCCUACGGGAGGCAGCAGUGGGGAAUCUUGCACAAUGGGCGAAAGCCUGAUGCAGCCAUGCCGCGUGAAUGAUGAAGGCCUUAGGGUUGUAAAAUUCUUUCGCUAGGGAUGAUAAUGACAGUACCUAGUAAAGAAGCCCCGGCUAACUUCGUGCCAGCAGCCGCGGUAAUACGAAGGGGGCUAGCGUUGUUCGGAAUUACUGGGCGUAAAGCGCGCGUAGGCGGGCUAUUAAGCCAGAUGUGAAAGCCCGGAGCUCAACUCCGGAACUGCAUUUGGAACUGGUAGCCUAGAGACCAGGAGAGGUUAGCGGAAUACCGAGUGUAGAGGUGAAAUUCGUAGAUAUUCGGUGGAACACCAGUGGGCGAAGGCGGCUAACUGGACUGGUACUGACGCUGAGGCGCGAAAGUGUGGGGAGCAAACAGGAUUAGAUACCCUGGUAGUCCACACCGUAAACGAUGAAUGCUAGUUGUCCGCGCGCAUGCGUGCAGGUGACGCAGCUAACGCAUUAAGCAUUCCGCCUGGGGAGUACGGCCGCAAGGUUAAAACUCAAAGAAAUUGACGGGGGCCCGCACAAGCGGUGGAGCAUGUGGUUUAAUUCGAAGCAACGCGCAGAACCUUACCCGCGUUUGACAUGCCCUGUUUGGUUACCAGAGAUGGUUUCCUUCAUUUAGUUGGCAGGUGCACAGGUGCUGCAUGGCUGUCGUCAGCUCGUGUCGUGAGAUGUUGGGUUAAGUCCCGCAACGAGCGCAACCCUUAUCCUUAGUUGCCAGCACGUCUGGGUGGGCACUCUAGGGAAACUGCCCGUGAUAAGCGGGAGGAAGGUGUGGAUGACGUCAAGUCCUCAUGGCCCUUACGGGUUGGGCUACACACGUGCUACAAUGGCAGUGACAAUGGGUUAAUCCCCAAAAACUGUCUCAGUUCGGAUUGGGGUCUGCAACUCGACCCCAUGAAGUCGGAAUCGCUAGUAAUCGCGUAACAGCAUGACGCGGUGAAUACGUUCCCGGGCCUUGUACACACCGCCCGUCACACCAUGGGAGUUGGUUCUACCCGACGGCCGUGCGCUAACCUCUCUGAGGAGGCAGCGGACCACGGUAGGAUAAGGGACUGGGGUGAAGUCGUAACAA